RNAcentral lists this ribosomal RNA (862 nucleotides) under uncultured organism. RNAcentral's name for it is "bacterial SSU rRNA". It matches the Rfam family "Archaeal small subunit ribosomal RNA", at positions 477 to 1338 of the family's 1478-position model. The record is from RNAcentral.
CAGCACCUCAAGUGGUCAGGAUGAUUAUUGGGCCUAAAGCAUCCGUAGCCGGCUCUGUAAGUUUUCGGUUAAAUCUGUACGCUCAACGUACAGGCUGCCGGGAAUACUGCAUAGCUAGGGAGUGGGAGAAGUAGACGGUACUCGGUAGGAAGUGGUAAAAUGCUUUGAUCUAUCGAUGACCACCUGUGGCGAAGGCGGUCUACUAGAACACGUCCGACGGUGAGGGAUGAAAGCUGGGGGAGCAAACCGGAUUAGAUACCCGGGUAGUCCCAGCUGUAAACUAUGCAAACUCAGUGAUGCAUUGGCUUGUGGCCAAUGCAGUGCUGCAGGGAAGCCGUUAAGUUUGCCGCCUGGGAAGUACGUACGCAAGUAUGAAACUUAAAGGAAUUGGCGGGGGAGCACCACAAGGGGUGAAGCCUGCGGUUCAAUUGGAGUCAACGCCAGAAAUCUUACCCGGAGAGACAGCAGAAUGAAGGUCAAGCUGAAGACUUUACCAGACAAGCUGAGAGGUGGUGCAUGGCCGUCGCCAGCUCGUGCCGUGAGAUGUCCUGUUAAGUCAGGUAACGAGCGAGAUCCCUGCCUCUAGUUGCCACCAUUACUCUCAGGAGUAGUGGGGCGAAUUAGCGGGACCGCCGCAGUUAAUGCGGAGGAAGGAAGGGGCCACGGCAGGUCAGUAUGCCCCGAAACUCUGGGGCCACACGCGGGCUGCAAUGGUAACGACAAUUGGUUUCGAAUCCGAAAGGAUGAGGUAAUCCUCAAACGUUACCACAGUUAUGACUGAGGGCUGCAACUCGCCCUCACGAAUAUGGAAUCCCUAGUAACUGCGUGUCAUUAUCGCGCGGUGAAUACGUCCCUGCUCCUU